Molecule: non-coding RNA, 201 nt
Organism: Pelobates cultripes (western spadefoot toad)
Lineage: Eukaryota; Metazoa; Chordata; Amphibia; Anura; Pelobatidae
Source: the annotation of a GenBank genome assembly
UAAUUAUCAUACCUUGAAUAUUGCCUGUGUUUGCCCGGAGUCUUCGGGUUUGAAAAGCAAUUACUAUGGAUGACAAUCUCUUUCCUCCUGGAAUGGACUUGGUAUGAAGCUCCACCGACUUCCCCACAAGGUCCCACCACCACAUCGGCAAACACUAACCUUCACAGGAGAUACUUCUCAAUUUUUCUUGGUACUGUCAAC